This 1228-nucleotide non-coding RNA is filed under the name Caenorhabditis japonica. Its description in RNAcentral is "Eukaryotic large subunit ribosomal RNA". It matches the Rfam family "Eukaryotic large subunit ribosomal RNA", at positions 468 to 1646 of the family's 3401-position model. Lineage: Eukaryota; Metazoa; Nematoda; Chromadorea; Rhabditida; Rhabditidae. The record is from Rfam by way of RNAcentral.
GAUCGCCGCCGGGAGUCGUUUCCUAUGCUACGCCGACGGCGUUGGCCGCUCGUUCUGGCCCGACAGUGUUGCCCAUCUCGCAAGAGACGGUGUCUUGUUGUCGGUCGUUGGUUCGUGGUGGCUAGCGUUUAGUUACGCUAGUGUGUGUGACGUCGGUGUGAAAGUCGACGACGUUUCCGACCCGUCUUGAAACACGGAUUACGGAGUGUUUGUCUGCUGCGAGUCAAAGGGUGUAAAAACCUUGCGGCGCAAUGAAAGUGAAGGUUAGUCUCGAACUGACCGACGUGGGAUCCGUGCUCUUCGGAGUGCGGCGCACCACGGCCCUAUGCGUGUCACUUGUGACUGUGUAGAGGUUGAGCAGUAGGCAAGCGACCCGAAAGAUGGUGAACUAUGCCUGAGCAGGAUGAAGCCAGAGGAAACUCUGGUGGAAGUCCGUAUCGGUUCUGACGUGCAAAUCGAUCGAUAGACUUGGGUAUAGGGGCGAAAGACUAAUCGAACCAUCUAGUAGCUGGUUCCUUCCGAAGUUUCCCUCAGGAUAGCUGGAACUCUUGCAGUUAUAUUCGGUAAAGCUAAUGAUUAGAGGCCUUGGGGACGUAAUGUCCUCAACCUAUUCUCAAACUUUCAAUGGAUAUGGCGUCGCAGUUUCUUUAGUGAACUGCGGCGUGAAUGCGAGUUCCAAGUGGGCCAUUUUUGGUAAGCAGAACUGGCGCUGUGGGAUGAACCAAACGUGGAGUUAAGGUGCCUAACUUCUCGCUUAUGAGACCCCAUAAAAGGUGUUGGUUGAUAUUGACAGCAGGACGGUGGCCAUGGAAGUCGGUACCCGCUAAGGAGUGUGUAACAACUCACCUGCCGAAUCAACUAGCCCUGAAAAUGGAUGGCGCUUAAGCGAGAGACCUAUACUCCGCCGUCGCGGCAUGUGCGUUGUCUAGCGCCAGGUCGCGACGAGUAGGAAGGACGUGGCGGUUGCGUUGAAGGCUAUGAGCGUAGGCUCGGCUGGAGCUUCCGUCAGUGCAGAUCGUAAUGGUAGUAGCAAAUAUUCAAGUUCGAUCCUUGAAGACUGAAGUGGAGAAGGGUUCCACGUGAACAGUAGUUGGAUGUGGGUCAGUCGAUCCUAAGGUACUGGCGAAAGCCUUGUAUCAUCGGUGGCGAAAAGCUUGCUUUUUGUCCCCGCCCGUCGAAAGGGAAUAGGGUUAAUAUUCCCUAACUGAGAUGCAAAGAUUGUGUUCUU